GAUGAACGCUAGCUACAGGCUUAACACAUGCAAGUCGAGGGGAAACGGCAUUAAGUGCUUGCACUUUUUGGACGUCGACCGGCGCACGGGUGAGUAACGCGUAUCCAACCUUCCCAUGACUAAGGGAUAACCUGCCGAAAGGCAGACUAAUACCUUAUGGUCUUCACUGACGGCAUCAGAUGUGAAGUAAAGAUUUAUCGGUUAUGGAUGGGGAUGCGUCUGAUUAGCUUGUUGGCGGGGUAACGGCCCACCAAGGCAACGAUCAGUAGGGGUUCUGAGAGGAGGGUCCCCCACAUGGGAACGGGGACACGGUCCAAACUCCUACGGGAGGCAGCAGUGAGGAAGAUAGGUCAAUGGGCGAGAGCCUGAACCAGCCAAGUAGCGUGCAGGAUGACGGCCCUAUGGGUUGUAAACUGCUUUUGGAUGGGGAUAAAGUCAAUCACGUGUGAUUGUUUGCAGGUACCAUACGAAUAAGGACCGGCUAAUUCCGUG
RNAcentral lists this ribosomal RNA (492 nucleotides) under uncultured bacterium. RNAcentral describes it as "partial 16S ribosomal RNA". It matches the Rfam family "Bacterial small subunit ribosomal RNA", at positions 28 to 507 of the family's 1533-position model. The record is from RNAcentral.